UGGGGAAUUUUGGACAAUGGGGGCAACCCCGAUCCAGCAAUGCCGCGUGUGUGAAGAAGGCCUUCGGGUUGUAAAGCACUUUUGUCCGGGAAGAAAUCGCACCUGAUAAUACCGGGUGUGGAUGACGGUACCGGAAGAAUAAGGACCGGCUAACUACGUGCCAGCAGCCGCGGUAAUACGUAGGGUCCAAGCGUUAAUCGGAAUUACUGGGCGUAAAGCGUGCGCAGGCGGUUGUGCAAGACCGAUGUGAAAUCCCCGGGCUUAACCUGGGAAUUGCAUUGGUGACUGCACGGCUAGAGUGUGUCAGAGGGGGGUAGAAUUCCACGUGUAGCAGUGAAAUGCGUAGAGAUGUGGAGGAAUACCGAUGGCGAAGGCAGCCCCCUGGGAUAACACUGACGCUCAUGCACGAAAGCGUGGGGAGCAAACAGG
This 429-nucleotide ribosomal RNA is filed under the name Bacillota bacterium. RNAcentral describes it as "Firmicutes bacterium partial 16S ribosomal RNA". It matches the Rfam family "Bacterial small subunit ribosomal RNA", at positions 355 to 776 of the family's 1533-position model. Lineage: Bacteria; Bacillati; Bacillota. The record is from RNAcentral.